This is a non-coding RNA of Macaca mulatta (Rhesus monkey), 1231 nucleotides long. NCBI's taxonomy places the organism in Eukaryota, Metazoa, Chordata, Mammalia, Primates, Cercopithecidae. The record is from RefSeq and is a predicted model, not a curated record.
GAUGGGGUUUCACUGUGUUAGCCAGGAUGGUCUCAAUCUCCUGACCUCGGACUUACACAAGUUUCUUAACUUCCCUAAGCCUUGGUUCCUCAUCUGUAAAAACAGGAAAAUAUUGCAGCCUAUCUCCUGGGACUUGUAUAAGGAUCAAAUCAGUUAAUGUAAAUAAAGCACUUGGAACAAUUCCUGAAAAUGAGUACUCAAUACAAGUUUAGGGUUGUUGUUGUUAGUAACAGUAGUAUUACCUAGCUUCCAUUGAGAGAAUCUAUUAUUUCGUUUCCAUAAAUUAUAUGAUCAAAUACAGUUAGAUACUAGUUACCAUGUAAAACAGAUUCCCUAAUGGGGAGAAACAAGACUGGUCUAUCAGUAAUAGGACUCAUAAUCUCUUUCCUUAUUCUCUUUCUCCUUUUUAUCAGCUUGUCUUUCUUGCCUGCCUGCCUUUCUGCCCUCUUUUUUUGUGGCUUCUCAUCUCUCUUUUUCUCCUCUUCCACAUUUACCAUGAUUUCCUCCUGUCCCCUCUCCUAAUUUGAAGUGCUGAGAAAGGAUGUGCUCUCACAAGAUCUGAGAGGAGAGCUAGUGCCAUUUGGCUGCCUUCAGCAUUCAUGAGGAAAGGAUGGUUCUUAAAAACCAUUAGAAUGAUCCUGAGAUGAAACUCAUGUCUCUUCCCUUGGGAUCACCCUUCCUUUUGAACCAGUGGCUCUUCUUACUUCCUCUGCCUUCAAUGAAGCAUUCUCCUCUGCAUAUGCUGGGGGAGUAGAAAGAAUGUUUGGCACUCAGCUCCACAUGGGAGAAAUCAUGUCUACUUAAUGCAUCACUGUGUACCUCAUGCCUAGGACCUGUUGCAUAGAAGGUAACAACAAGUAUUUGCUGAUGGAAUGAUUCAGUGAAGCAACACUGAAACUGGAGAUUUGAACUCUGGUUUUCUCCCUCACUAGAAGUAUAACCUUGGGAAAAUGGCUUUGUAAAGAAGCUUGAGCCUAAAUCUGGCUGGAUGACUUUUCUAGAAGUUACAGGAAAGAUCUGUGAAACGCUAUCUCUUCUGAAGCAAUACUGUUGACCAGAAAGGACACUCCAUAUUGUGAAACCGGCCUAAUUUUUCUGACUCUUAAGAAAACGAUUGCCAACACAUACUUCUACUUUUAAAUAAACAGCUUUGAUGAUGUAACUUGACCUUCUAGAGUUACAGAAAUUUUAUCCCUAUUUAAUAAAUAAAUUGUAUGUAAUUUUCUCUAUA